RNAcentral lists this ribosomal RNA (889 nucleotides) under uncultured bacterium. Its description in RNAcentral is "bacterial SSU rRNA". It matches the Rfam family "Bacterial small subunit ribosomal RNA", at positions 26 to 896 of the family's 1533-position model. The record is from RNAcentral.
AGGAUGAACGCUGGCGGCGUGCCUAACACAUGCAAGUCGAACGGGGGUUUAGCAAUAAACCCUAGUGGCGAACGGGUGAGUAACACGUAGACAACCUGCCUUCCAGAUGGGGACAACAAUCCGAAAGGGUUGCUAAUACCGAAUGUGCUUGUUUCUUCGCAUGAAGAAACAAAGAAAGAUGGCCUCUAUUUAUAAGCUAUCGCUGGAAGAUGGGUCUGCGUCUGAUUAGCUAGUUGGUGAGGUAAUGGCCCACCAAGGCGACGAUCAGUAGCCGGUCUGAGAGGAUGAACGGCCACACUGGGACUGAGACACGGCCCAGACUCCUACGGGAGGCAGCAGUGGGGAAUCUUCCACAAUGGACGAAAGUCUGAUGGAGCAACGCCGCGUGAGUGAUGAAGGCUUUCGGGUCGUAAAACUCUGUCUUCGGGGACGAAUGUGCGAUUUGUGAAUAAUGAGUCGUAAUGACGGUACCCGAGGAGGAAGCCACGGCUAACUACGUGCCAGCAGCCGCGGUAAUACGUAGGUGGCAAGCGUUAUCCGGAAUUAUUGGGCGUAAAGCGCGCGCAGGCGGGAAUAUUAGUCUAUCUUCAAAGUGCGGAGCUCAACUCCGUGAUGGGGUGGAAACUGUAUUUCUUGAGUGCAGGAGAGGAAAGUGGAAUUCCCAGUGUAGCGGUGAAAUGCGUAGAGAUUGGGAGGAACACCAGUGGCGAAGGCGACUUUCUGGACUGUGUCUGACGCUGAGGCGCGAAAGCUAGGGGAGUGAACGGGAUUAGAUACCCCGGUAAUCCUAGCUGUAAACGAUGGGUACUAGGUGUUGGGGGUAUCGACCCCUCCAGUGCCGGAGUUAACGCAAUAAGUACCCCGCCUGGGGAGUACGAUCGCAAGGUUG